GAAAUGCGAUAAGUAAUGUGAAUUGCAGAAUUCAGUGAAUCAUCGAAUCUUUGAACGCAUCUUGCGCUCCUUGGUAUUCCUUGGAGCAUGCCUGUUUGAGUAUCAUGAAAUCUUCAAAGUAAAUCUUUUGUUAACUCAAUUGGUUUCUACUUUGGUAUUGGAGGUCUUUGCAGCUUCACACCUGCUCCUCUUUGUUCAUUAGCUGGAUCUCAGUGUUAUGCUUGGUUCCACUCGGCGUGAUAAGUUAUCUAUCGCUGAGGACACUGUAAAAGGUGGCCAAGGUAAAUGCAGAUGAACCGCUUCUAAUAGUCCAUUGACUUGGACAAUACUUUUAUGUUCUGAGCUCAAAUCAGGUAGGACUACCCGCUGAACUUAAGC
Molecule: unclassified non-coding RNA, 378 nt
Filed under: plant metagenome
Description: partial contains 5.8S ribosomal RNA, internal transcribed spacer 2, and large subunit ribosomal RNA
Rfam family: 5.8S ribosomal RNA (bases 1-105)
Source: RNAcentral